AAACUAAAAAAAAAAAAUCUGGUGGCCCCACCAGAUCAGAGAUGGGGGAACCCUCAGAUCUCAUAUCACUACUGCCUGUUUCUCUUCCACCACAUAGACUGCAGUUGGUUUCCAGWCCCAAGCUGGUACCACUAUAGCUACCAGGCUUCCAGAAGAAAUCUUCCCCACCUACGCACUCAUUUUGGUUGGGCUCUUUCAGUCCCCGCUGCCAGAGCCAAGCACCUGCACCACGCUGGGACACGCUUGCCUCCCUCACAAGCACUCCCCUGUGCAAGCGUGCAACGAAACCGGUAUCGUUCCCUGACCAAGCCAGCUUCCAUAGGGGAUGACCUGGAUAAUAAACACAAGGCUGCCAGGUUCCUCCACCUCAGUCCGGUUUUAACCCCUGCCCUGAUCGCAUCCGCUCCGCCAGCUCACCUGCUUGGAGCGACUCCGGUCCCACACCCCGCUGCGGAGAGCGAUAGGGAUCAGCAAGAGGCAGGGCAAAACCCUAGGAGAGCUUCGCGACCCUGCACGAAAUUCCCGCAGGGAUUUCAACACGCAGCCCUGACCCUCCACGUGCGACUCGGGGAGGGCAGCUCUGCUCUCCCGGCCCGUCCUCAUCGACGUCAACUCCUCUCCCUCCCUCCCCGGGGGGAGAAGCGCCCUAAAAAAAGGGUAUUUUCUUCCCAGUCUGCUCCAAAUCCCUGCUGUUACCUACUGAGGGGCCCCAGAGCCGCUCUGCAGGACCCGCUGCCGACACGCCGCAGGGAGGGGUGCCGGGCCCCUGCCAGCCUCCCCCCUCGCCUCUCCUCUCCCCCAAAUUGGAUUUCCUCUCCCCAAAUUGUGUCCCUUUCCCAGGCGCCCUCAAUCGAGCGCCGAGUCGCAGCUCUCCAAAGCAAUCGAGCCCCGCGCUGCCCCCCCACCCCCACCCCCGCUCCACGGCCCCGCACCGGAGCGCGGAGGGAAGCGGAUCGCCAGCAGCAUCGCCUGCGCGCUGCGGAGCGCCAAAGCAGGCGCAACUCCCGAGCCCCGGAGCCCUGCAGGCAGCCCCAGUGCACCCCCCCCCCCCUUCCCACGCACGCAUCUGGGGAGGAGGCAGCUCAGCCUCUGCCCUCCAAUUUAUUGCCCCGGUUUCUCCCUCAGGCUUCAGAGCCCUUCCUCUGCCCCAUCUCUGUUCCUAAGCCCUCUUCCAAUACCCCUCCCCCCAGCUGCCUCCCGUCACCAGCUCCUCAUCCUCGCAGCGCCCUCCCCAACCCACCCAUACCUCCUAUACCCAACCUCGCCCAUACCACGGUCUACACGCAAAAUCUCCCCCCACCUGAUUUUACAGGGGAAGGAGGACCUUCGCCC
This 1332-nucleotide long non-coding RNA is filed under the name Apteryx haastii (Great spotted kiwi). RNAcentral describes it as "lncRNA (ENSAHAG00000004010.1)". The record is from RNAcentral. Lineage: Eukaryota; Metazoa; Chordata; Aves; Apterygiformes; Apterygidae.